Non-coding RNA from Caenorhabditis elegans, 21 nucleotides. Lineage: Eukaryota; Metazoa; Nematoda; Chromadorea; Rhabditida; Rhabditidae. The record is from Ensembl.
UUAGUAGACUUUUCAAACUUU